This 75-nucleotide transfer RNA is filed under the name Streptomyces sp. YIM 121038. Its description in RNAcentral is "tRNA-Gly". Lineage: Bacteria; Bacillati; Actinomycetota; Actinomycetes; Kitasatosporales; Streptomycetaceae. The record is from RNAcentral.
GUGGCGGCCACGCUCGCGGUGGCGGCGGCGUUCCCGUCGCUGCGGGGCGCGCGGCUCGGGACCGCGGCCGCCGCG